CACCCGAAUCUCUCCUACCAACUCACGCAUAGUCUUCUCCUCCCUCUCCCCUCUCCGCGAAUCUCUCCUUCGAACUCCUCUCCGUCCAACCUCUCUUCCACAAACCCCUCUCCACGAAUCUCUCCUCUGAACACCUUCAAACAGUGAGCUUUUUUAGCACCAGUCGUGCCUUGCCUUGAAAGCCUUCACUGCCGCUCGAAGUGAGCAGUAAUACGAUGUCGAUCUCAACCUCUACGCGUCUCCACCUUGUCCAGGUGCGGAUCGCGGCAGGAGAUCGAUACCUUGGUUACUGAUCUAAUGGAGGAAGGAUGACUCUCCACGGAGACCUCCAAGGGGGUUCCCUAAUGGCCGAUUGAUGGCGAGGAGGAGAGCUAAUCGGCGAGCCGAUCAGCGGUGGUGUAGAAGGUCAAGAUUGGAUUUUACUUCGCCGUGUGGUGAGCGCUGAACGUGGUGUUCAACAUCUACAACAAGAAGUUUCUUAACGUCUUCCCCUAGCCUUGGCUGACCUCCACACUCCCCCUUGCUGCCGGCUAGCUCCCUCAUGUUUUAGGUCAAGUUUGAUUUAACCUCUUCAAAGAACAUGUUGAAAUGACAAAAAAGAUUUGUGGCAAUGCAAAUGUCCGUUACGCAUGGCUUGCUUCCUCCAAGGAUGCGGUGGAUGAGAUGAUGUCUCAUGGGGUUCUGAAGCAACCUGUGCAGAAAUGACUUUAUGGAAAUGGACUUCAUCUUGCCCUUACAAAUUGCUCUGAUAUCUGCAUUGCGUAAGCUUUGUGAAGAUGCUUCGGCAGUUAUGCAGGAUCUAUAAAAUCUUGAAGUUUUGAUCUGGAUAGGCGAGGACUUGGAGAAAUGGAAUCUUUCAUAUGAAGAGGAAGAGGAAAUUGUUUGUGCAAUAACUCUUACACUCAAUACAAUUGUUAACAAGGAGCUGAAGAAGAGUUCACUGUCUAGAUUACUUUCUUCUAGAUACAAAGCCAUUGAGAAACUUGUAUGUUAUUUAGCUUGCAUUUUUAAAUUGUAAAGAAAGUGAAUCUCAUGCUUUCUAGAAUUCUAGUUCAUUCGACAGCAUUUUUAAAUUACAUGUACCUCUCAAUGAUUAUGUAGGAUGUUUAGUAGAAGAUCGAUGUUGAGGAAUUGUUAUACAUGAUCACAUGGAUAAUUACACACUUUAUGAUAUCUAUAUUAUAUAUAAUAUUGUCAAUAUUGGUUACAUUGCUGUGACAUCC
Molecule: long non-coding RNA, 1223 nt
Organism: Zingiber officinale
Lineage: Eukaryota; Viridiplantae; Streptophyta; Magnoliopsida; Zingiberales; Zingiberaceae
Exons: 3
Source: RefSeq, a predicted model, not a curated record